This 497-nucleotide ribosomal RNA is filed under the name uncultured bacterium. RNAcentral describes it as "partial 16S ribosomal RNA". It matches the Rfam family "Bacterial small subunit ribosomal RNA", at positions 28 to 507 of the family's 1533-position model. The record is from RNAcentral.
GAUGAACGCUGGCGGCGUGCCUAAUACAUGCAAGUCGAGCGAACGGACGAGAAGCUUGCUUCUCUGAUGUUAGCGGCGGACGGGUGAGUAACACGUGGAUAAUCUACCUAUAAGACUGAGAUAACUUCGGGAAACCGUAUCUAAUACCGGAUAAUAUUCUGCACCGCAUGGUUCAAAAGUGAAAGACGGUCUUGCUGUCACUUAUAGAUGGAUCUGCGCUGCAUUAGCUAGUUGGUAAGGUAACGGCUUAUCAAGGCAACGAUGCAUAGCCGAACUGAGAGGGUGAUCGGCCACACGGGAACGGAGACGCGGUCCAGGCUCCUACGGGAGGCAGCAGUAGGGAAUCUUCGGCAAUGGGGGAAAGCCUUACGGAGCAACGGCGCGCGAGUGAUGAAGGUCUUCGGAUCGUAAAGCUCUGUUAUUAGGUAUGAACAUAUGUGUAAGUAGCUGUGCACAUCUUGACGGUACCGAAUCAGAAAGCAACGGCUAACUACGUG